This 24-nucleotide microRNA is filed under the name Ananas comosus (pineapple). RNAcentral describes it as "microRNA s0116_c052". Lineage: Eukaryota; Viridiplantae; Streptophyta; Magnoliopsida; Poales; Bromeliaceae. The record is from RNAcentral.
AAGCUCCAUCAUCGAAAAUAACUU